UUUGGUUGCUAUAGCGAGAAGGAUACACCUGUUCCCAUUCCGAACACAGAAGUUAAGCUUCUCAGCGCUGAUAGUACUUGAUGGGAAACUGUCUGGGAGAGUAGGACGCAGCCAAGU
This 117-nucleotide ribosomal RNA is filed under the name Peptostreptococcus russellii. Lineage: Bacteria; Bacillati; Bacillota; Clostridia; Peptostreptococcales; Peptostreptococcaceae. The record is from RNAcentral.